RNAcentral lists this ribosomal RNA (624 nucleotides) under uncultured Hypoxylon. RNAcentral's name for it is "eukaryotic LSU rRNA". The stretch from base 264 to 417 matches the Rfam family "5.8S ribosomal RNA". Lineage: Eukaryota; Fungi; Ascomycota; Sordariomycetes; Xylariales; Xylariaceae. The record is from RNAcentral.
AAGUCGUAACAAGGUCUCCGUUGGUGAACCAGCGGAGGGAUCAUUAGAGGAAUACCCAAAACCUCCCAACCCCUGUGAACUUACCACUGUUUCCUCGGCGUGCGCACCUGGUUGCCCGCGGGGGAUCCGAGCCUACCCUGUAGCUACCCUGUAGCUACCCUGUAGACCCGGGUCCUCAGCACACGGCGCCGCUCAAGGUCCCGCCGAAGUACCCUGAACUCUGUUUAACGUGGAAUUCUGAAUGCUUCAACUAAAUAAGUUAAAACUUUCAACAACGGAUCUCUUGGUUCUGGCAUCGAUGAAGAACGCAGCGAAAUGCGAUAAGUAAUGUGAAUUGCAGAAUUCAGUGAAUCAUCGAAUCUUUGAACGCACAUUGCGCCCGCCAGUAUUCUGGCGGGCAUGCCUGUCCGAGCGUCAUUUCAACCCUCAGGCCCUGGUUGCCUGGUGUUGGGGCGCCGCGCACCCUAGCGGGCGCGGGCCCCGAAAGUCAGUGGCGGGCUCGCCAGGACUCCGAGCGCAGUAAUAUUGCCUCGCUGCGGAGGACCUGGUGGGCUACCCAGCCGUAAAACACCCCAACUUCUAAAGGUUGACCUCGGAUCAGGUAGGAAUACCCGCUGAACUUAA